RNAcentral lists this small RNA (117 nucleotides) under Marmota monax (woodchuck). Lineage: Eukaryota; Metazoa; Chordata; Mammalia; Rodentia; Sciuridae. The record is from RNAcentral.
ACCAGAUGCAGUGGUGUGCACCUGUAAUCCCAGCUCCUCAGAAGGUUGAUGUGGGAGGAUCCCUUGAGCCCAGGAGAUCAAGGCCAGCCCAGACAACAUAGGGAAACUCCAUCUCAA